GGCGUAGGCGGCUUUUCAAGUCGGAUGUGAAAUCUCCUGGCUUAACCGGGAGGGGUCAUCCGAUACUGUUGAGCUAGAGUGCAGCAGGGGAAGGUGGAAUUCCCGGUGUAGUGGUGAAAUGCGUAGAUAUCGGGAGGAACACCAGUGGCGAAGGCGGCCUUCCAGGCUGUUACUGACGCUGAGGCCCGAAAGUGUGGGGAGCGAACAGGAUUAGAUACCCUGGUAGUCCACACCGUAAACAAUGGACACUAGGUAUAGGGAGUUUCGACCCUCUCUGUGCCGAAGCCAACGCUUUAAGUGUCCCGCCUGGGGACUACGGCCGCAAGGUUAAA
RNAcentral lists this ribosomal RNA (332 nucleotides) under uncultured bacterium. RNAcentral describes it as "bacterial SSU rRNA". It matches the Rfam family "Bacterial small subunit ribosomal RNA", at positions 568 to 898 of the family's 1533-position model. The record is from RNAcentral.